UACGGAGGGUCCGAGCGUUAAUCGGAAUUACUGGGCGUAAAGCGCGCGUAGGUGGUUCAGUCAGUCAGAUGUGAAAGCCCCGGGCUCAACCUGGGAACUGCACCUGAUACUGCUGAGCUAGAGUACGGUAGAGGGCAGUGGAAUUUCCGGUGUAGCGGUGAAAUGCGUAGAGAUCGGAAGGAACACCAGUGGCGAAGGCGACUGCCUGGACUGAUACUGACACUGAGGUGCGAAAGCGUGGGUAGCAAACAGG
RNAcentral lists this ribosomal RNA (253 nucleotides) under uncultured bacterium. Its description in RNAcentral is "partial 16S ribosomal RNA". It matches the Rfam family "Bacterial small subunit ribosomal RNA", at positions 524 to 776 of the family's 1533-position model. The record is from RNAcentral.